RNAcentral lists this transfer RNA (90 nucleotides) under Sodalis glossinidius str. 'morsitans'. RNAcentral describes it as "tRNA-Ser (GGA) (tRNA-Ser-GGA-1-1)". It matches the Rfam family "tRNA". From Rfam's summary of the family: Transfer RNA (tRNA) molecules are approximately 80 nucleotides in length. The record is from RNAcentral. Lineage: Bacteria; Pseudomonadati; Pseudomonadota; Gammaproteobacteria; Enterobacterales; Bruguierivoracaceae.
GGUGAGGUGUCCGAGUGGCUGAAGGAGCACGCCUGGAAAGUGUGUAUACACGAAAGUGUAUCGAGGGUUCGAAUCCCUCCCUCACCGCCA